Molecule: long non-coding RNA, 474 nt
Organism: Ostrinia nubilalis (European corn borer)
Lineage: Eukaryota; Metazoa; Arthropoda; Insecta; Lepidoptera; Crambidae
Exons: 2
Source: RefSeq, a predicted model, not a curated record
UAGGUGUACCAGAAUCUCAUGGCAAACAAAAAUAUUGGAAAAGUGUGUUUUUCAUAUGGCAAUUGUCUAUGGUUUAAUUGUCACCUGUCAAAGAAAAUUAUGACAUCUGUCAGCCGCUGCAAAAAUUUUGUAAUCUCUUCUUGACUAUUUGUUAUUUUUGUGAAAAAGUCGAAAAAGCUCAAGCAAGUCAUAUUGUUUUCAAUGUGAAUUGUAAAAUAAGGCAUAAUUCAAAGUCAAUCUUUGAUUAUAAGCGCGUCGUCGAGUUGACAGUAUAUCUCACAAAUUGGUGCAGAGGAAUGGUCAAAAUGUUAUGACCAUGUAAAGAAAAUUGAAAAAGAUUUCAUCUCUUUAUCUUGAUCAUCUAUUGAAGAACAAGAAAUUGCAAGUGGAGUUCUUAGAAUCGUUUUCUAGUUCUGAAUGAAGUGAUAAGUUAAAAGUAUGAUGCAUAAUAAAAUUAGUUACUUAAAGUAAUAA